GCAGGGGUACCCGAGCCUGGUCUAAGGGGCAGGGCUUAGGACCCUGUGGCGUAGGCCUUCGUGCGUUCAAAUCGCACCCCCUGCA
This 85-nucleotide transfer RNA is filed under the name Thermoplasmata archaeon. Its description in RNAcentral is "tRNA-Leu". It matches the Rfam family "tRNA". From Rfam's summary of the family: Transfer RNA (tRNA) molecules are approximately 80 nucleotides in length. Their secondary structure includes four short double-helical elements and three loops (D, anti-codon, and T loops). Lineage: Archaea; Methanobacteriati; Thermoplasmatota; Thermoplasmata. RNAcentral also lists the same sequence under 2 other names. The record is from RNAcentral.